RNAcentral lists this long non-coding RNA (872 nucleotides) under Sorghum bicolor (sorghum). Its description in RNAcentral is "long non-coding RNA (SBIC_LNC014273)". The record is from RNAcentral. Lineage: Eukaryota; Viridiplantae; Streptophyta; Magnoliopsida; Poales; Poaceae.
CCAUGCAAUUCAGUUCGGCGGCAAUAAGUGUUCACUGUUGCCACGAAUAUAUUAUCGUUGCUACGAGUUUAUUUUUCAUUGUGAUACUCAAAUGAUUUCGCAACGCUUUAAUUUGUUAGUUGCAAUAAAAAGUCACUCUUGCGACGAUAGGUUUUUCGUUGCUGAGAAUUUUGUUGUCGUUGCAAUAUUAAGAUGAUUUUGCAACGUUUUUACUUGUUGGUUGCAAUAAAAAGUGACUCUUGCCACGAUUGAUUUUCCGUUGCUGAGAGCUUUAUUAUCGUUGCAAUACUAAGAUGCUUUGGCAACACUUUUAUUUCUUGGUUGCAAUAAAAAGUCACUCUUGCCACGAUUAAUUUUCCAUUGCUAAUAGUUUUGUUGCUGAUGCAAUACUAUACAGUUAAAAUGUUUAAUAUAAUAUUAAAAAAAAUAAAAAAACGCUUCAAAUGAGAUUCGAGCCUGGAACCUCUGAGUUUUAGAAGCCACACACUAACCAUCUCAACCUUUUGGUGUUUGUGCCUUCUCUAGCCACAACACGAUAUAUAUAAUAAUGUAAACGUGUUUAAUUACAUAAUGGAAGCUAGAUUAAUCUACUCGAUGCAACCGAUCGGUCUUCUCUGCUCUAUAUCGCGCUCGUCCAUUGCCGGCCCUAAUUCUUCCUCGCACUCGGGUCCGGCGAUCUCCUCGCUGGUGGCCGCCGUCGCUGUCCUCGCUGCCCUCGCUGGUGGCCGCCGUCGCUGCCCUCGCUGGUGGCCGCCGGUGAUCUCCUCACUGCCCUUGCUAGUGGCCGGCGUUCCCCUCGCUGCUGAUCGACGACGUCCUCCAUCACCGGCCGGCCAGAGAUACGACACGCGAUUGGCCGUUGCUGCCCUCGC